Long non-coding RNA from Numida meleagris (helmeted guineafowl), 2469 nucleotides. RefSeq lists it as uncharacterized. The transcript has 3 exons. NCBI's taxonomy places the organism in Eukaryota, Metazoa, Chordata, Aves, Galliformes, Numididae. The record is from RefSeq and is a predicted model, not a curated record.
AUUGUCCAGGAAAGAAAAGAAAGAAAGAAAGAAAACUGUCCACCCUUUUCAGAAACCACUGAUUUUCCAUUGUAAAGAAAGAAUUAAAAAAAACAAACAGAAGUUCCUUGCUUGCUCUUUGAUUUGGGAGGAAGAAAAUCUGCCCUGAGCAUCCAUUGUUCCUGCGUGGGUGAUGAAGCGUUCGUUAUGGGAGGUUUGGUCACUCUGCCACUCACUUGCAAGGUGCUGGGAGGCUGCUCUGCAUUCAGCAAUGCUGCAGUACCUCGUGGCUCGAGGUGUGCUUGAUGAACAAAGUUGAACUGGAAUCUUUGAGCAGGAAUCCUUCCAAGCCCAAACACUGGAGAACUGAAGAGUGAAGCGGGAUGUACAUACCUGUGAGCUCCCAGGCUCCUUUGCCUGGCAGACACUGCAGCAAGAUCCAGCAUGGGUGAGAUCUCUCCUAGCUGGCUGAAACUGAUCUGUAUCUGCACAGCUGCUGAAGGUCUAAACCCACUCUAUACCUUUACACUCAUACCCGCUUCAGCAUGACUUCAUGCCACCUAACUAACCCUACAGAAACAAUAGGGUGGUUUCUUUUCAGAUGGCUCAGGUCUGCAAGACAGCUGAGUGCAGGGAGGAGGCAGUGAAGUCUAGUUAAGGUAGCUGGUAUCUCUCAGCACAAGUCCAGUGCUCUGCAUCUUGGGACUAAGCGCUGCUGCUUGCUCCUGAGCCAACAGAUCCUGACUGGCUUCACUAGCUAAAGAGCAGCAUUUUGCUGCACAAGCCACCAUGUCAGCUUUACAGUCAUGGUAAUUUCUCCGUGGCAGGCAGAGGAGCUAGCCCUCAGUGAGGCAUGUGGUCAUGUUAUGCUUCGAACAUAAGCUGAUUUUGCUUUGGAAGUGAGAUACCGCGUUUCUUGGCACCCACACACUGAGCAUUCUCUCCUCUCACACACAUGCAGACAGUAUUCGGCUUUGAAUCCUCUGUGUUGAGAAUAGCGAUAGUCCAUUUUUUUCCCCCCAGAUUUGUUCACCGUGGGUGAUCAGCCAUUUCCAGCUUCUUCAGAGACAAAACCUUUCUCUGCUUUAAUCUUUGAGGGCUGUAGAAGUGACAAUGCAAUGAAAGAUGGGAAUGAAAUUCUCUGCCAGCCUUCAUGCAAUUACUAAGCACUACAUUCAGAAGCUUUACUUCGACAAUAUAUGAAUAAAGGCAGAAACAGCAUUUCACUGCAGAUUAUCUAUCCCACCUGGGUCAGGACAGGAGGUCGUGAUGCACAAUGCCAAAAAGAGCAUGGCCUGACUUUGAGCCAGGCUGGAGUUUCAGAGUUGGCAGCUAAAAUCUCAUUUCGCCACAGGUGGGAGAACAUUUCAUGGGAAGAGAGGAGACCUGAUGCACAAUGAAAGUGGGUGUUCACCUCACAGCUGUGUGGCAGCCCUGCCCAUGGCAGGGGAUUGCAGCUCGAUGAUCUUUAAGGUCCCUUCCAACUUAAACCAUUCCAUGAUUCUAUGAUUCCGGAGAGAAUAUUUGUUUGCAUUGCCUGAGCAAGUAACAUUUGCAGAAUAGAGGCCUCUUUUACAGUGAUGGACGAAGGCUAGCAAGGUGACUGCUUCAGGAAGCUGCUGUUGCUGGACCAUUUUGCAGUUAUGGACUGAUUUGUGCUGGUAUUUGACUGAGAAGACGGGAGAAUGGUGGAAAGCAGGGACACAACUUUGAUGCUUAUGCUGGAAUGAAGAGAUCCUUGUGUCGUAUCCAUCAUAGCGUAUGUACAAUAGUGGUGGCCAUUCUUAUUCAGCUCUAUAUGAACAAUUCUCUGCUGGCUAAUUCACCAGCUGUGGGCUAACUGGCAGCUUCUGGGGCUUACAUGAACAAUGGUGCAUAGUGUGCGUAUUCCAUAGGAUAAAAAAAAAAAUAAUCCUGCUUUGUCUCAGGCACAACUAGUGAUUUGACUUUGUUUUUUCCACAUCAUAGUGCUAUACAGUAUCUGAACACCAUUCUAAAAGCUGAAACUCUGUUCUCUACAAGAAGCUUGUGGAGGUGUCCCUGCCUAUAGCAGAGGGUUGGAACUAGAUGGUCUUAAAGGUUCCUUCCAACCCAAACCAUUCUAUGAUUCUGUGAUUCUAAGCUAAAUGCUUAAAGGCAUCCCCUGGCCAGCCAUCAUCCUGAAUCAAUAUUGGAAGACAGAAGUAAUUCAUUGAAAUAUUGUUCAUGAAUUAGAGUGUGGCCUGGACCACAACAGCGUGGUCUCUGAAAGCACGCGUUUAUUUCUGUUUGGUUACUGAAGGAUAUGUGAAAAGGCUAGAGACAAGCUUAGAAGGUGGUUCAAGAGGAAAGCUGCUUGCUGGUGUAAACGCAUUAAUUAUUGAGACAAAUUUAGCUGGUUGGAGCACUGCAUAAAUCAGCACACGGUCUGAAACUUUUAUGGAAAUAAUUGCAUGUGCCUUUGCAGAUGUCUAAUUUCUAAGAGCCAGAGCUUUGGAGCUAGCAAACACA